Molecule: ribosomal RNA, 253 nt
Filed under: uncultured bacterium
Lineage: Bacteria
Description: partial 16S ribosomal RNA
Rfam family: Bacterial small subunit ribosomal RNA
Source: RNAcentral
UACAGAGGAGCCAAGCGUUGUCCGGAUUGACUGGGCGUAAAGCGCACGCAGGCGGACGCGCGCGUGGGGUGUGAAAUCUGGCCGCUUAACGGCCAGGCGCCAUCCCAUACGGCGCGACUGGAGUGAUGCAGAGGUCGGUGGAAUUGCCGGUGUAGUGGUGAAAUGCGUAGAGAUCGGCAGGAACACCCAGGGGGAGACCAGCCGACUGGGCAUCUACUGACGCUGAGGUGCGAGAGCGUGGGGAGCGAACCGG